Thalassophryne amazonica is the source of this 537-nucleotide long non-coding RNA. RefSeq lists it as uncharacterized. The record is from RefSeq and is a predicted model, not a curated record. The transcript has 3 exons. Lineage: Eukaryota; Metazoa; Chordata; Actinopteri; Batrachoidiformes; Batrachoididae.
AAUUUAAAUAUAUAUAUAAUUAUACAGUUAAUUGUAAUUCAGUUUAUAUUUUUAUAUUUAAUAACUAUAAUUCAUUAAAUAACUAAUUUCAUAUCUACAAAAUAUAUAAGUAUACCUAUCUAUAUGCAUUUAAUUCAUAAAAUAAUAUUACUUGCAUGCAUACACACAUAUAUAAUAUAAUAAUGACUAAUAAUACUAAUGAUAAUAAUAGUCGUAAAACACUGUAGAUAAUAAUUAACACAUGAGGCAGUAUGGACAACAGACAACACACAAAGGACAAAACAAACACUCCAGAGCCACGUACCAUCAUUUUUAACUUAUUAUCAUUAACUUUAUAUUAUUAUUAUUAUUAUUUAUUUAUUAAAAUUGUUAUUGUCAUUAUUAACUAUGUGUGGUGUGAAGUGUUUGUGUUGAGUGCAUCAAAAACACAGGGCUUUUGUGAGGUCAUAUCACGAGAUGCCCUGAGAUGUCACUGCCCACUAGACCUGGUAAAGGUAUGAGGUCGUUGCAUUAAUAUGUCAUACACUAGCUGUAUUA